RNAcentral lists this long non-coding RNA (1967 nucleotides) under Phoenix dactylifera (date palm). RNAcentral describes it as "long non-coding RNA (PDAC_LNC007581)". Lineage: Eukaryota; Viridiplantae; Streptophyta; Magnoliopsida; Arecales; Arecaceae. The record is from RNAcentral.
AAGACCUUGUCCUGCCCCUAUUGCUGUCUUUCUCUAGGGUAUCUAUGGCUCAACAAGUGUAAACACAAAACAUUAAUCCUUUUCCAUUUUUAUGUCUUUAUUAGACAAGGUCUGUAGGAUACCUGACAUGAGGUAGUGCUCUCUCAGAUAUUUGUUAACUCCCCAAAUCUUGGUGAAGGUUUAAUCCUAGGUCUCUUGGCAGCAAUAGUUUUUACCAACUUUUUAUGCUGGCACCAUAAGAACAUUAUUCCUUUUCUUUUCAUUCUCUCAUUAUGAUAUAUUUUGCCAUAUUUGUCUUCAUAGAGAUUGAUUUAACUUGAUAUGCAACUCGCUUCUUUUGGGGUUUGUUUUCAAAUGAAUAAUGUAUGGCUUUUUCCUUUUACCUUUUUACCUAUUCAUCCUUGAAUGAAAUGGUUAAUUUGGAUCCUAUUUUAAGAUAUAUAAAACAUGGAUGAUUACACACUGAUGCCCUAAUGCACCUUUUUUUUUAAGUUGUAAACAAAGACUUUAGCUUGUUGUUGGCUUGUUCUGUGUUGCUAAAGCAUUGAUGUAGCAAUUGGGAAUAUGCCAAAGUCGAUACUUGAUUGAUUCUUACCAUAUUUUUAUUGCUUUGUUGUUAUAUUCGAUUCCCAUUCUCAUGUUUUCUCAUAUUCUUGUUCAUUUUUUAAAGUUUUUCUUAUUUUUAUAUGCUUCAACCUCCUUUCGCUGAAAUAAGCUCUAAAAUGGAAAUCUUAACAUUUGCAGCUAAUAAGAUGAAAAAUGAAAGCAAAGGAAAGGGCCUCAAAUUUGCAUAGUAGAGGGUCUUUUUCUUACGUACAUUCAUAGGAUUUCAAAGCAUCAAUGAUUUCUUUGAGAAGAACAAUUUGCUUGUCUACAGCUUGGAUUACCGAAAGCUACUCAAGUUUAUGAUAUUCUGUAGUAAUGAUUUAGAUCUAUACAAUUAUUUUAAAUUUGACUCUUAAAAUGAUGAAUUGAUUUUCUCAUCAAGGUCGAUGCAGUGGUAGGAUUAGCUUAGCUCUGUAAUUUUCUAUAAGCUAUAUAUCGAAGGUUAGAUAAUAAUAAGGAUUUAAGUGCCGGUGCAUCCUGGACUGCAUCGGAUACAAUAUCAGUACCAGUAUGCUCUCAUGCGAAUAUCGUAUAGGUACAUGUAUAAUAUGCUCAUUUGUGCUGUUUUGGCACAUGCAGGCGUUCUAUAGUUUGGUAUGGAAGUGUAAUGUACUGGUCCCUAACCUAUCAGUAAGGUACCAUUAUGUGUAUAGAUGCUGGGAUGAUUCCCACAUUGAGAAGGGUUUCUUGGGAAACUGAACUGAGAAACUGGUGCAAAGCAUUUGUUUUAUGAAGUGCAAAAUUUGGGUUUCCCACUUUUGUAUUACAUGUGAAUGAGAACUCCUACAAGAUACCUGUUGGAAAAGGGACUUUUUGUAUAUUAUUAUAAACCGGGAUCAAUGGUUGAAAGGGGCUUGAUAAAAACACCCUUAUAAUAUCAUUUUAUGCAUCUUUUUUCUCACAUCAGAGCAUGUGGAGAGUGUUAUUAUAAGGAGACUUUACAAAUAUCCAUAUAAAAUUGUAUAUAUGAAAUUUAUCAAACUUUGCUGAGCACAAGAAAACAAUAAGAAACUGAUACAUAAACUAGAAUCGUCAUAGUUUCAUAUCAGUCAUUUUAAGUUUUGAUGUAAGACCUUGUCCUGCCCCUAUUGCUGUCUUUCUCUAGGGUAUCUAUGGCUCAACAAGUGUAAACACAAAACAUUAAUCCUUUUCCAUUUUUAUGUCUUUAUUAGACAAGGUCUGUAGGAUACCUGACAUGAGGUAGUGCUCUCUCAGAUAUUUGUUAACUCCCCAAAUCUUGGUGAAGGUUUAAUCCUAGGUCUCUUGGCAGCAAUAGUUUUUACCAACUUUUUAUGCUGGCACCAUAAGAACAUUAUUCCUUUUCUUUUCAUUCUCUCAUUAUGAUAUAUUUUGCCAUAUUU